GGAACCGGAGCUAAUACCGGAUAAUAUAUUGAACCGCAUGGUUCAAUAGUGAAAGACGGUUUUGCUGUCACUUAUAGAUGGAUCCGCGCCGCAUUAGCUAGUUGGUAAGGUAACGGCUUACCAAGGCAACGAUGCGUAGCCGACCUGAGAGGGUGAUCGGCCACACUGGAACUGAGACGCGGUCCAG
This 187-nucleotide ribosomal RNA is filed under the name uncultured Staphylococcus sp. Its description in RNAcentral is "partial 16S ribosomal RNA". It matches the Rfam family "Bacterial small subunit ribosomal RNA", at positions 153 to 334 of the family's 1533-position model. The record is from RNAcentral. Lineage: Bacteria; Bacillati; Bacillota; Bacilli; Caryophanales; Staphylococcaceae.